GCAAACUUGGUCAUUUAGAGGAAGUAAAAGUCGUAACAAGGUUUCCGUAGGUGAACCUGCGGAAGGAUCAUCAAAGUGAUUCGGGGUGUGUCGGCGUGGAAAACUGCGCUGGGCACCACCCCAACCAAUCUUGUGUGAACUGUAGCGUGAGGAUUGCGUGUGGAUUGGUUGGCAGUACGGGGGGAGACCCUCCGCCAACCACCGCCAUACGUGCAUCAAUCUCUUUGUAAUCUUGUCUAACAUUACACACACUAAAUCAACACAACUUUUAACAAUGGAUCUCUUGGCUCUCGCAUCGAUGAAGAACGCAGC
Molecule: unclassified non-coding RNA, 312 nt
Filed under: uncultured fungus
Lineage: Eukaryota; Fungi
Description: partial contains small subunit ribosomal RNA, internal transcribed spacer 1, and 5.8S ribosomal RNA
Rfam family: Eukaryotic small subunit ribosomal RNA (bases 1-73)
Source: RNAcentral